Molecule: non-coding RNA, 1376 nt
Organism: Rattus norvegicus (Norway rat)
Lineage: Eukaryota; Metazoa; Chordata; Mammalia; Rodentia; Muridae
Source: RefSeq, a predicted model, not a curated record
UCUGCUUAGCUGUAGUUACAGGAAGGAGUGAGUUUAUCCAGCAAACACAGGACCGAGGCUAUGGUGGGGAGAUCAGGAAAGGAAGCAGAGGGUGUGCAGUUCUCUCGAUGGGUAUGUGAUGGCGAAAGCAGUCAAGACCUACUUCCCAGGUAGCCCCAGAUUUUUGUCAGGGGCCGGAGAAGAGUGAGUGCUGUGUUCUUCGUUACUGGAUAUUAGACAACUUAGAUUAGAUAAAUUAAAUAAAUUUAUUAUUUAGUAAAUUAGAUAAAUUAAAGUGGGUUUAGUUCAGGAAUAAAACCCCUCCUAGACAUUGGUGUCUGGGGACAGCCUGAAUGCAUCUACUACUGAAGAACUGACUAGAAUUGGAAAACGGAGAACAGGAGACCCACUAAGGUGGGUCCCAAACAUCCAUAUGGAAAGGGUAACUGAAGUUGGACUUCUUCACACUCCAUCGGGCUCUUGCCCAAGUGCUCAGGAGGGAGAAUGGGUAUGCCAGGAGCACUCACUGAUUACCUGGAGGAGCCCUCACUGAUUACCUGGAGGAGCCCUCACUGAUUACCUGGAGGAGCACUCACUGUUUACCUGGAGGAGCACUCACUGUUUACCUGGAGGAGCCCUCACUGUUUACCUGGAGGAGCACUCACUGUUUACCUGGAGGAGCACUCACUGUUUACCUGGAGGAGCCCUCACUGUUUACCUGGAGGAGCCCUCACUGUUUACCUGUCACUUGCAGGGCUUAGGUGAGAAGUCUGGCCUGUGUGGUCCACAGUGCACCCUGGCACAGCGUCCGUAAGACCAGAUAUUAUUUAUUUGCCUUUUAUAACCUCAGUUUUAUUGUCUGAAUAGGACAGAAAUAACAUCUGAGAAACAAAACCCAGAAAACAAGCACAGUCACCAAAGAGGAGAACUGUAACAAAGGUCACUAUGGAAGUGUGUGAGGACUCUAGCAGGUUUAAAAAGGUAAAAAUGGCCAGUGAGACCCAUCAGCUGUGGACGACUAAAGUCCAUGGAAUUUUAAAGAGCUCAUAGAUGAUGACUUUCCAAGGGUAGGAAGAAGUGAGUGGCUGUGUUUGCCUGGGUAGUUUAAGUAAUCCAAAAUAAAAAUCAAAAGAAAUGGGUAUAUUUACAAAUACCAAAAUCUAAAAGUAGCCCAUGGGAGAGAGUCAAAAGUCGCCACACAUACCUUUGCCCUGAAUAAAGCAAUUCAAAUCCUUCACUGAUGUUAUGAAAAGGCAAGGUGUGGGUUAUCAACUGGCCCAGGUCAAAUUUCUUUUCCAGGAAUUCAGUCACCAAUUUGGGAACAUCAUCUCUGCUCUUCCAACCUGUGGGUAAAUGCAGGUUUGUUCUUUGUACUCCAUGAAGCAAUCCUCACCUUC